This 497-nucleotide ribosomal RNA is filed under the name uncultured bacterium. RNAcentral describes it as "partial 16S ribosomal RNA". It matches the Rfam family "Bacterial small subunit ribosomal RNA", at positions 28 to 507 of the family's 1533-position model. The record is from RNAcentral.
GAUGAACGCUGGCGGCGUGCCUAAUACAUGCAAGUCGAGCGAACGGACGAGAAGCUUGCUUCUCUGAUGUUAGCGGCGGACGGGUGAGUAACACGUGGAUAACCUACCUAUAAGACUGGGAUAACUUCGGGAAACCGGAGCUAAUACCGGAUAAUAUUAUGAACCACAUGGUUCAAAAGUGAAAGACGGUCUUGCUGUCACUUAUAGAUGGAUCCGCGCUGCAUUAGCUAGUUGGUAAGGUAACGGCUUACCAAGGCAACGAUGCAUAGCCGACCUGAGAGGGUGAUCGGCCACACUGGAACUGAGACACGGUCCAGACUCCUACGGGAGGCAGCAGUAGGGAAUCUUCCGCAAUGGGCGAAAGCCUGACGGAGCAACGCCGCGUGAGUGAUGAAGGUCUUCGGAUCGUAAAACUCUGUUAUUAGGGAAGAACAUAUGUGUAAGUAACUGUGCACAUCUUGACGGUACCUAAUCAGAAAGCCACGGCUAACUACGUG